GGGAAGGUGGCUUAGUCGCAGAGCGCUUGCCUUGCAUGCAUGAGGCUCUGAGUUUGAUUUCUCAGCGCCA
Non-coding RNA from Dipodomys ordii (Ord's kangaroo rat), 70 nucleotides. The record is from Rfam. NCBI's taxonomy places the organism in Eukaryota, Metazoa, Chordata, Mammalia, Rodentia, Heteromyidae.